CAGCAGCCGCCGCGGUAACACAGAGGGUGCGAGCGUUAAUCGGAUUUACUGGGCGUAAAGCGUGCGUAGGCGGCUUUUUAAGUCGGAUGUGAAAUCCCUGAGCUUAACUUAGGAAUUGCAUUCGAUACUGGGAAGCUAGAGUAUGGGAGAGGAUGGUAGAAUUCCAGGUGUAGCGGUGAAAUGCGUAGAGAUCUGGAGGAAUACCGAUGGCGAAGGCAGCCAUCUGGCCUAAUACUGACGCUGAGGUACGAAAGCAUGGGGAGCAAACAGGAUUAGAUACCCGCGUAGUCCCUGUCUCUUAUAC
RNAcentral lists this ribosomal RNA (304 nucleotides) under uncultured bacterium. RNAcentral's name for it is "partial 16S ribosomal RNA". It matches the Rfam family "Bacterial small subunit ribosomal RNA", at positions 506 to 807 of the family's 1533-position model. The record is from RNAcentral.